UGCGGGGUGGUGUAAUAGGCAGCACCGGGGACUUUGGAUCCUCUUGUCCAGGUUCGAGUCCUGGCCCCGCAGCCA
RNAcentral lists this transfer RNA (75 nucleotides) under Armatimonadota bacterium. RNAcentral's name for it is "Armatimonadetes bacterium (marine sediment metagenome) tRNA-Gln". It matches the Rfam family "tRNA". Rfam says of the family: Transfer RNA (tRNA) molecules are approximately 80 nucleotides in length. RNAcentral also lists the same sequence under 1 other name. Lineage: Bacteria; Bacillati; Armatimonadota. The record is from RNAcentral.